UGCUAAAAAAUUUAUUCAUUUCUAUUAUUAAAAACUGACAUGAUUGGCAGAAUAAUCAAACAAUGAUGUAUGCCUCAUGUUAACAUACAGAAACCAAUUUUUAACCGUAGAAAUAGAUAAUUUUUUUAACA
Gossypium raimondii (Peruvian cotton) is the source of this 131-nucleotide non-coding RNA. The record is from Rfam. NCBI's taxonomy places the organism in Eukaryota, Viridiplantae, Streptophyta, Magnoliopsida, Malvales, Malvaceae.